GACGAACGCUGGCGGCGUGCUUAACACAUGCAAGUCGAACGAUGAAGCUGGAGCUUGCUCCGGUGGAUUAGUGGCGAACGGGUGAGUAACACGUGAGCAAUCUGCCCUUGACUCUGGGAUAACUGCGGGAAACUGUAGCUAAUACCGGAUACGAGAUUUGGAGGCAUCUCCGGAUCUGGAAAGAAUUUCGGUCAAGGAUGAGCUCGCGGCCUAUCAGCUUGUUGGUGAGGUAAUGGCUCACCAAGGCGACGACGGGUAGCCGGCCUGAGAGGGUGACCGGCCACACUGGCACUGAGAUACGGGCCAGACUCCUACGGGAGGCAGCAGUAGGGAAUAUUGGGCAAUGGACGCAAGUCUGACCCAGCCAUGCCGCGUGCAGGAUGAAGGCGUUAUGCGUUGUAAACUGCUUUUAUACAGGAAGAAACGACUCUUGCGAGAGGCAUUGACGGUACUGUAUGAAUAAGCACCGGCUAACUCCGUG
RNAcentral lists this ribosomal RNA (481 nucleotides) under uncultured bacterium. RNAcentral describes it as "bacterial SSU rRNA". It matches the Rfam family "Bacterial small subunit ribosomal RNA", at positions 28 to 507 of the family's 1533-position model. The record is from RNAcentral.